Long non-coding RNA from Thalassophryne amazonica, 98 nucleotides. RefSeq lists it as uncharacterized. The transcript has 3 exons. Lineage: Eukaryota; Metazoa; Chordata; Actinopteri; Batrachoidiformes; Batrachoididae. The record is from RefSeq and is a predicted model, not a curated record.
UUGCUCCAUCCUGAUUGGGCCAUGUCAAGGUUUGGGUAAGCUUUAAUUAUUGCUGCCCUGCAGGAAUGUUGCCUUUCAAGGGUGAUGAAAGACUGUUA